GUUGCCAUAGUGAAGUGGUUUAUCACAGCCGGCUUUCUACCGGCUAUCUCGAGUUCGAAUCUCGAUGGCAAUA
Molecule: transfer RNA, 73 nt
Filed under: Methanobrevibacter smithii
Lineage: Archaea; Methanobacteriati; Methanobacteriota; Methanobacteria; Methanobacteriales; Methanobacteriaceae
Also listed under: 2 other names
Description: tRNA-Glu
Rfam family: tRNA
About the family: Transfer RNA (tRNA) molecules are approximately 80 nucleotides in length. Their secondary structure includes four short double-helical elements and three loops (D, anti-codon, and T loops).
Source: RNAcentral